Molecule: non-coding RNA, 5154 nt
Organism: Oryctolagus cuniculus (rabbit)
Lineage: Eukaryota; Metazoa; Chordata; Mammalia; Lagomorpha; Leporidae
Source: RefSeq, a predicted model, not a curated record
CAGCACUCUCUGGCCAGUCCCUGAGUUCUAGCCCCCUCCCACUUCCUCCCCCUCUCAUAUGAAUUUAUUGAAGCUGUCAAUCAAUGCAAAUCCGGUGAGCAUAGGCUGUGCAAUCCUCUAGCUCCUCCCUCUCCCACCGGCUCCCUUCCCCCUUCCCAUCCGUGAGCUUCUUUCUUUCCAUUUGUAUCACUCAACCCAAAGCCCUACCAAAGGACGGAGGAAAAGCAGAGGAAAGACAAGAUUCCACGUGCAGCUCUGAGCCGGGGACCCUUCCAGGGAGAUGGGAGCCUUUGAUGUGAAGCCCUGAACAUUCACGUGGGAGGGGAGAGGGCGGAGGGGGAGGGGCAGGGGGGCAAGCCCCAGGCCUGGCAUUUCUGGAACAGGGUCAGGUAGGGCCCAAGGUAGCAGGUGGUGCAUCUUGUAAAGCCAGAGCAGGGAGAAGACAUCCAAAGAUGCGCUCUGAGCAGGACAGGUGAGAGGAGGCAGGCCUCUCGUUGGAGAGGGCGACAGUCACGGGAAGCCAGAGAGAAGGGAGGACCACUCUGCCCUCUUGGCAGAGGGGAGGGAAGCUGCAGGCGGGCAGGGCUAUUGUUACCUUACUGUAUCAGGGGUGGAGGUAGGGAGGAGCCAGAGGUAUGCAGCUGUAACAGGCCCUGUUUUUAAGAACCAGUUUUUCCAGCGAUGGCAAGCAAACGCGGAGAAUGAGUUUUUCAGCAUAUGGCCUAAAGGCACUUAGUAAACCCACAGUGACCCACCUCAGCCCCCCAAAGCAAGGCAAGGCUAGCAGUUUGCACUGGGUGCACUUGCCGGUGUCCACUGCGCACCUGCCAUGGGUCAGGCCCGUCCCCAGGCAUUAGCACAUAGCACCUGCCAGGCUUCUUGGACAGCUGAGCAGAGGCUCAGUGAGGUUAAGUGACUUGCCCACGGCCACACAGCUAGUGAUGGAGCUGGGAUCUGAACUCCAACCUAUCUGGUGUCAAAGCUUAAACCAUCACCGCCACAUCCCGCUCACUGAGCUGAUUGAGAGUUUGUUCAUUCACUCGUUCCUCCCCCUGGGGCAAAGCUCUGUGGCAGGUGCUGUAGGAAAUCCUGCCUUCGGCGAUGAGAUUGAGUGCAGAGAAAAGCAAUGCAAGGUCAAGGGCUGUGCAGACAGGGCCGCUGAGACACAGCCCCAGGGUGCAGAGGAGGGCGGACUUCCAGGGGCACUUUCUGGCCACAUGGGUGUUUGUGGUGGACUGGGGAGAGAGGAGGGGAGGGUGUUCAGAUGGAGGCAUCCUGGGAGAUUUGAAAAGCCCACCAGGGGUCGAGAGUGAGCCUUAGGGACCUGGAGGUGCAGGCUGAGAUGGGCUUCCCUUCUGCCUGUGGGAGGUGGGGGUUGGGCCAGGGCCCCAGGCCCUGUCACGGUCACGGAGCUCCAGAAGGAAGGGUCUGGCCAUGUGGGCAAGGGGCUGGGGUGGGCAGGCCUGGGGUAAGCCUGUGGACAGGGAAGGGUCAGGGAUGUUUUCCAUGAGCUCUGUCCACCCAGCCUGGGCACCGCCAGGACAAACCAGGGUCGGGACAGGACCAGCUCGGGGCACUCAGGGUGGUGUGGCUCGCCGGAAGUGUCUCCCCCAUCUGACCACCUCUUUCCUGCUGCCUCCUCCCAGACCUGCCACCCUUGAGUCUGAACCCCUGCCUGCGCUGUCCCUCUAUGGCCCUUGCUGUCUCACCUGUGGUCACAGACAGCUCAGGGAGGAGGGGUCUUGGGGGCCCUGGGGGGAGGGGGGACAUCCCUGUGUCCUCAGCACUCGGCCUGGCCCCAGACCUCCGGCUGCGUGGAGACACCCAGGCCCGGUCCGUGAGAAUCCUCUGUGGGCCAGGCAACCUUCCUAGUGCUUCUGCUCCUUCCCCCAAGCCCGCCACCAAGGCCCCAUGGAUGCAUCUAUUUUAUAGCUGGGCAAAUGGAGCUACAGAUCCCUUAGUUGCUCAGUCUCUUGCUUGGUGGAUGGCGGGAGGAGAGGAGAGGGCGUAGGGUUGCAUGCAGGGGGCCGCGGCGUCCCUCCUCACAGUGUCCCCUGUCUCUCCCUCUCCAGGAAGGAGUGUCUCGUGAGCUCCUCCGGGAAUGACAAUACGGAGAACGGGCUGCCCGGCUCCAAGGCCGAGGAGAAACCGCCCACAAAAGUGUAGCAGUGUGGCAGGCCGGGCGGCCGCAGGGAGCCGCAGCUUCCAGUGAUGAGACUGAUCCUCGAGCCCCGCCCGUCUGUAGAACCCACGUGCCUGAGACACCUGCUGCUUGCCUCCAACUGUAGACUUUCUAGGCAGGGAGGCGCGGGAUGUGCCUGGCCCGCCCCGCCUGCUUCCCAGCCAGGGCACCCAGGGACAGCGGCCGGCCACGGCAGAGGGGAAGGAGGGGUUGGGCCGGGAUGGACGGGCUGGCCCUCCUCGACACCUGGGGAGAAGGGGUCUCCUUCUGUCUCCCUGGACCUUGGUUUUCUUCCUGAUUUCUCGUCAAGAGGGACUGGGGGGAACAGCGAGGGCGGCCCAGGAGCUGGGCCUGGGGGAGACCCCCACCUGGAGGACUGACCCUUUGGGUAGUGGGAGUGGCCGGUGUGGAGUGGGGGCUGCUGGAGGCAGGGCCGCAGUGAGAGGCCUGCCUUGGCUGUGGGCCAUCCCCGUUCUCCUCAGUCCCUCAAGUGCAAAGUUCCCCCCUCGCCACCCCCCGCUCGAGGGUGCCCGUCUGCCUCAUCCCAGCUCCCUGUCCCACUUCCUGCUCCAGUUUCUAAACCCUGCUGGUUUGGGCCUCUAUCUAACCUGGCCUCUGCCCUCUGCUUACUAGGGAUGUGCAGAGGGGACCGGAGCCCCACAGCAAUGCCCACCCCAGCCCCACUGCUGGCAGCCCUGUCCUUGGCAUGGCAGGACCAUCGCCACCUGGGCGCUCCAGAGCCCCGCUCUCCCCCUCUUCCCCUGCCCCCAGAUGGCAGGUGCUGUCACCUUGCUUGUGGGGUCACACCCUGGAACCUGCCGUCCUGCUGGCUUGCACCACCUAUGCCCCUGUCACUGCUUCUCCCCUGUCCCCAGGGCUGUUCGUCCGCCAGCCCGGGGUCAAGGGCUUGCCUCCAUCUCAGGGACCCUCUUGUUUGGAUGAGGGCCCUUGGCUUUUCCAGAUGCUUCCUGCUCAGCUGGGCCACCCCGUCUCUCCCCCGAGGUGGGGGAGCAGGGAGAGGUUGCCCACACGUGCCCUCUGCACUUUCAGAACCAGUUUGCACACCCCUGUGUAUGGGGCUAGACUGUGCCUUAGCUCCCUGAGUCCAGCUCUUACUCGUCUCUGCCUGCAGCCCGUGUGUCCUGGCAUCACCGCACCCCCCUCCCUAGGAUCACGUGGCGGGGGCGCAAGGUUAGGGUUGUGUUACCUGCAACCCGUUGGCCAGUAACUGAGAUGGAGACAUCUGCCGGGUGCUUCCAGGGUGGUGUUGGAGUGGGGCCACCUGGUGGGUCCCCCUGUGUGAGUCCCUGUGGGGCAGAGAUGGUAGAUGUGAUAACAGGGGUCUCCCCCACGUGCGCCCAUCCCUUGCCCCCGAUUGCAUUCCUGACCCCGUGUCCCCCGGGUCCCUUUUGCAGAGGAUGUAGGGACCCCUCAUGACUCUCUGCCAGGAAGCACUGUACGCUUCCCUGAGGGUGCAGGUGCAGAGAGACGGAGGCACAGCCGCACCUGCGGGGUGCUCACGGCUGUGGUCUGAGCCCCUCACCCUCGCUCACCGGCUCACAGGCUCCCCUGAUGUUCUGCCCCUGCCCCUCCCAUCCUCCUCCACCCAGAACCCAUCCUGGGGAGGGGGAUCGGAUUUUCUCGGAUUUGGGAACAGGCAGACCAGAGCCCUCGACCACUCAGAAGACUUCUAGCUGCCUUCGUGUGAACCUUCCUUCUCCCGUCCAAUGCCGAUGUUUGACGAGGCAGCGGCGCGCACCUGGGCAGCAUCCUCCCUCCCCUCUCCUGGGUCUCCUGCUGGCUUAGAGCUCCCGCUCACCGCCACUCCCCCGUGGAGUCACUUUGUACCAUUGGAGACCUUGACCCUGACGCUUCCAGCUUCUUGUCCGUGGCUGUGUCGGGUGGUUCUCAGCAGAGGUGCCUGGGGCUGUCCGAGGAGAUGCUAAAUGCACUCAGCGAGGGGGCACUGACAGUGUUAAACGCCAGCGUAUGAUGCCCAUGGAGAAACAUGGACGUGGCCUGGCGCCAGGACAUAUGUGGGCAGAGUCGUCUUCCCCAAGUAGGGCCUCCGUGCCUGCACGUCUCUGAUGGAGGUUGUUGCGGGACCGCGUUCACCAAGUUGAUGCACCUGCUGACGGUGAUGUCAAGGACUCAAAGACACUGCUCUGAGUGCCCCAUCCUUAACCUCAAAAUGGGACCCUGGCACUCCAGGCCUCAGUUUCUUCUGGUGUUGGAACUGAGCAGAAGGCAGCCAGCGUGAACUUGUGAUGCUAGAGAGGCCUGGGGGCGGGGCGGGGCGGGGGCGGCCCGUGAGGCUCAGGCUGUUCAGGGAGGGGGUGAGGGGGCGGCGCGUGCAUGCGGAAGCGUGUGCCCAUACAGGCAGUGCAGGUGUGUGGAGUGGGUGGGCGGUGCAUGGUGGGCAAGACUCUGGUCUUCUCAGGAGCCUUCUCUCCCGGCCUGAGCGUGGCUGUUGGGAAUCUGCAAGCUGAGAGCGGACAAGAGGACCAAGAGGAAGACCAGCCGUGCUCCUGACCCCAUCACUCCCGGACUCCAUCUCAUUAUUGCAGACGGCUCUGGUUGGAGGGCUGGCGGGAGGGUGUGCCAGGAGGGAGGGCUGUUCCGGAGAAGCCUGCCGCUUGCUUCAAUUUGCUUUGUGCCAGGUUGGGGUCCCUGCCUGCCCCCCCGCCCCACCCAAAUCCGCAGUGCUUCUGGCUAUCUUAUGCAUGGUGUAUGCCUCGGGCUUGGAUGACAACAACACCCAUAUCAGUUUCCCUCUAUAACUGUAGAUGAGAGGCUGCAGCAGUGGCCUUGGGGACCUCGGGGUGGCCCAGAGGAGCACACACCCAGCACUGACUUGUGUUCACGCACGGCAGGGAGGUGAUCAGACGGUCUUGCCUCUACAACGUGUUUUGCAUUGUAGAAUUGUAUUUCGCUUUGCCUUGGAUGAAAUAAAAAGUUAUGUUUAGUAAUAA